UCAGAAAGAGAUUCCGAGAUCUCCCAGAAGCAAAGGGCAACCAGACUUUCUGGUGAGCAGGAUGAGACCCGCCGGGACCCCACACUCCCUGCAGAGCCUGCAGACGGAUCCUGGGAAAGCCGCCGGGGCCCUCAGAGGCUUCUACUCAUGCCUCAAGAAGCCAAUGGAGGGGCACCUGGGUGGCUCGGUCGAUUAAGCGUCUGACUCCGGGUCAGGCUGAAGCGUGGAGGUGGUUGUGACCCAGCUUUGACCAUGCAACCAAGGAAAUAUCCUAGGAUGAUGAUGUAACAAAAUGGGAAGAAGCCAGGUCCCCAGCUGACCUGAUAGAACUGAGCGGUCCCAGCAGUCUGGACUACUCACCUCUGACAAUGGUCUCUUGUGUGAAAAAUACAGUGAAUCAUCUUUA
Long non-coding RNA from Suricata suricatta (meerkat), 406 nucleotides. RefSeq lists it as uncharacterized. The transcript is spliced from 4 exons. The record is from RefSeq and is a predicted model, not a curated record. Lineage: Eukaryota; Metazoa; Chordata; Mammalia; Carnivora; Herpestidae.